This 547-nucleotide ribosomal RNA is filed under the name uncultured marine picoplankton. RNAcentral's name for it is "SSU rRNA". It matches the Rfam family "Eukaryotic small subunit ribosomal RNA", at positions 598 to 1150 of the family's 1831-position model. The record is from RNAcentral.
CGUAUAUUAAAGUUGUUGCGGUUAAAAAGCUCGUAGUUGGAUUUCUGUUGAGAACAGCCGGUCCACCUCUUGGGUGAGUAUCUGGAUUGGUCUCGGCAUCCUCUCGAAACUCGUUGCUGCGCUUGAUUGCGUGGUGCGGUGUUCGGGACUUUUACUUUGAGGAAAUUAGAGUGUUCACGGCAGGCAAUCGCCUUGAAUAUAUUAGCAUGGAAUAAUACUAUAGGAUCUUGGUUCUAUUUUGUUGGUUUCUAGGGCUAAGAUAAUAAUCAAUAGGGACAAUUGGGGGCAUUCGUAUUACGGCGUCAGAGGUGAAAUUCUUGGAUUGCCGUACGACGAACUACUGCGAAAGCAUUUGCCAAGGAUGUUUUCAUUGAUCAAGAACGAAAGUAAGGGGAUCGAAGAUGAUUAGAUACCGUCGUAGUCUUUACCAUAAACUAUGCCAACUAGGGAUGAGGCGUCGUUCUUCUAUGACUCGCUUCGCACCUUAUGAGAAAUCAAAGUUUUUGGGUUCCGGGGGGAGUAUGGUCGCAAGGCUGAAACUUAAAGG